AGGCGAUGAAGGACGUACUAGACUGCGAUAAGCUAUGGGGAGCUGUCAAGAAGCUUUGAGCCAUAGAUUUCCGAAUGGGGCAACCCAAUAUGUAGCAAUACAUAUUACCUUAAAUGGAGCGAACCUAGUGAAGUGAAACAUCUCAGUAACUAGAGGAAAAGAAAUCAAACGAGAUUCUCUUAGUAGCGGCGAGCGAACGGGGAAGAGGGCAAACCCAAUGCUUGCAUUGGGGGUUGAGGACUGCAACAUCCACUGGAAUACUCUAAUAGAACAUUUUGGAAAGAAUAGCCAUAGAGGGUGAUAGCCCCGUAUAUGAAAGAGUAUUUCUAGGUAGCAGGAUCCAGAGUAGGUCAGGGCACGUGAAACCCGGACUGAAGCAGGGGAGACCACUCUCCAACCCUAAAUACUACUACUACACCGAUAGCGAACCAGUACCGUGAGGGAAAAGUGAAAAGAACCGCAGUGAGCGGAGUGAAAUAGAACCUGAAACCAUUUGCCUACAAUCAUUCAGAGCCCUAUUGUGAGUCUCAUUAAGAAAUUAGAGAGGCUUGUCUUUUGAGCUAAAAAUGUGUGAGUUCGCUUUUUGCUUGUGCGACAGCCUUAAGGCUAGUCUCCGCGCAAAAAACUUCACAACACACAUUUCUCAUCUAAAAUACUGCGCCAUUGGGUGUUUCUUUUUAUAAAACAACAAUAGAGAGAAUCUUAAUCUUUAAGAUUCCAUUGGAGUUGAAUCUCUUAAACUAAGAACAACCAGAAAUUCUAGCAUUGUGGAUAAGAUUUGUGGGUUGUGUAGUAAAAACUGCGGAGACUAGCCUUAAGGCUGUCGCACAAAGUUUUUACAAACUCCCACAAAGAUUACCACAAGGCGAAUUUAGUUUAAUUUUUUAGUGAGGCUCACAAGGGUGAUGGACUGCCUUUUGCAUAAUGAUCCUGCGAGUUGUGGAAUCGGGCAAGGUUAAACUAAUGUGAAGCCGUAGCGAAAGCGAGUCUGAAAGGGCGAUUGAGUCAGAUGCUGCAGACCCGAAGCUGAGUGAUCUAUCCAUGGCCAAGUUGAAAGUGGGGUAACACCCACCGGAGGACUGAACUCGUACCCAUUGAAACGGGUUGGGAUGAGCUGUGGAUAGGGGUGAAAGGCCAAUCAAACUCAGUGAUAGCUGGUUCUCUUCGAAAUAUAUUUAGGUAUAGCCUCAAGUGAUAGUAAUAGGGGGUAGAGCUCUGAUUGGGCUAGGGCUGCUCACCGCGGUACCAACCCCUGUCAAACUACGAAUACCUAUUACCGUAUCUUGGGAGUCAGGCGGUGGGUGAUAAAAUCAAUCGUCUAAAGGGGAACAACCCAGACUACCAACUAAGGUCCCAAAGUUCUAUUCUAAGUGGAAAAAGAUGUGGAGUUACUCAGACAACCAGGAGGUUGGCUUAGAAGCAGCCAUCCUUUAAAGAUAGCGUAACAGCUCACUGGUCUAGUGAUUCUGCGCUGAAAAUAUAACGGGGCUAAGAUAGACACCGAAGUUGUAGAUUGUGCUGAUGCACAGUGGUAGAAGAGCGUUCUAUACAGCAUUGAAGCCAUACCGGUAAGGAGUGGUGGAGUGUAUAGAAGUGAGCAUGCAGGAAUGAGUAGCGAUAAAAGUGGUGGGAAUCCACUUCGCCGAAAAUCUAAGGUUUCCUACGCUAUGCUCGUCAUCGUAGGGUUAGUCGGGUCCUAAGACAAGUCCGAAAGGGGUAGUCGAUGGAAAAUUGGUUAAUAUUCCAAUACCAAUAUUAGUGUGCGAUGUGGGGACGCAUAGGGUCAAGACAAGCUGACGGAUAGAAGUGUCAGUCGAAGGGUGCAAGUUAGGAGAUUGGUAAAUCCGCUCCCGUAUCCCAAACCCAACAGGCGUAUCAAAACCUUCGGGUAGCGAUAUGAAUUGUUAAGAUCGUCGUGCCAAGAAAAGCCUCUAAGUUUAGCUAAUAUUGCCCGUACCGCAAACCGACACAGGUAGAUGAGAUGAGUAUUCUAAGGCGCGUGAAAGAACUCUCUUUAAGGAACUCUGCAAACUAACACCGUAAGUUCGCGAUAAGGUGUGCCAUAGCAAUAUGGUCUCAGCAAAGAGUCCCUCCCGACUGUUUACCAAAAACACAGCACUUUGCCAACUCGUAAGAGGAAGUAUAAGGUGUGACGCCUGCCCGGUGUUCGAAGGUUAAGAGGAUUAGUCAGUCGCAAGAUAAAGCUAUGAAUUGAAGCCCGAAUAAACGGCGGCCGUAACUAUAACGGUCCUAAGGUAGCGAAAUUCCUUGUCGGUUAAAUACCGACCUGCAUGAAUGGCGUAACGAGAUGGGAGCUGUCUCAAAGAGUGAUUCAGUGAAAUUGUAGUGGAGGUGAAAAUUCCUCCUACCCGCGGCAAGACGGAAAGACCCCGUGGACCUUUACUACAGCUUGGCACUGCCGAUGGGAGCAUUAUGCGCAGCAUAGGUGGGAGGCUUUGAAAUCUUUACUCCGGUAGAGAUGGAGCCACCGUUGAGAUACCACCCUUAAUGUUUCUGUCUGCUAACUAGCUAGAGUUAUCCUCUAGUAGGACAAUGCCUGGUGGGUAGUUUGACUGGGGCGGUCGCCUCCUAAAAAGUAACGGAGGCUUGCAAAGGUUGGCUCAAAAUGGUUGGAAAUCAUUUGUAGAGUAUAAUGGCAUAAGCCAGCCUGACUGUAAGACAAACAAGUCAAGCAGAGACGAAAGUCGGUCAUAGUGAUCCGGUGAUUCUGUGUGGAAGGGUCAUCGCUCAAAGGAUAAAAGGUACCCCGGGGAUAACAGGCUGAUCUCCCCCAAGAGCUCACAUCGACGGGGAGGUUUGGCACCUCGAUGUCGGCUCAUCGCAUCCUGGGGCUGGAGCAGGUCCCAAGGGUAUGGCUGUUCGCCAUUUAAAGCGGUACGCGAGCUGGGUUCAGAACGUCGUGAGACAGUUCGGUCCCUAUCUGCCGUGGGCGUAGGAAAGUUGAGGAGAUCUGUCCCUAGUACGAGAGGACCGGGAUGGACAUACCACUGGUGUAGCUGUUGUUCUGCUAUGGGCAUCGCAGCGUAGCUACGUAUGGAUGUGAUAAACGCUGAARGCAUCUAAG
RNAcentral lists this ribosomal RNA (3085 nucleotides) under Helicobacter rodentium. Its description in RNAcentral is "bacterial LSU rRNA". It matches the Rfam family "Bacterial large subunit ribosomal RNA". Lineage: Bacteria; Pseudomonadati; Campylobacterota; Epsilonproteobacteria; Campylobacterales; Helicobacteraceae. The record is from RNAcentral.